GAUGAACGCUGGCGGCGUGCGUAAUACAUGCAAGUAGAACACUGAAGCUUGGUGCUUGCACCGAGCGGAUGAGUUGCGAACGGGUGAGUAACGCGUAGGUAACCUGCCUCUUAGCGGGGGAUAACUAUUGGAAACGAUAGCUAAUACCGCAUAAAAGUCGACAUUGCAUGAUGUUGACUUGAAAGGUGCAAUUGCAUCACUAAGAGAUGGACCUGCGUUGUAUUAGCUAGUUGGUGAGGUAACGGCUCACCAAGGCGACGAUACAUAGCCGACCUGAGAGGGUGAUCGGCCACACUGGGACUGAGACACGGCCCAGACUCCUACGGGAGGCAGCAGUAGGGAAUCUUCGGCAAUGGGGGCAACCCUGACCGAGCAACGCCGCGUGAGUGAAGAAGGUUUUCGGAUCGUAAAGCUCUGUUGUAAGAGAAGAACGAGUGUGAGAGUGGAAAGUUCACACUGUGACGGUAACUUACCAGAAAGGGACGGCUAACUACGUGCCAGCAGCCGCGGUAAUACGUAGGUCCCGAGCGUUAUCCGGAUUUAUUGGGCGUAAAGCGAGCGCAGGCGGUUAGAUAAGUCUGAAGUUAAAGGCUGUGGCUUAACCAUAGUACGCUUUGGAAACUGUUUAACUUGAGUGCAGAAGGGGAGAGUGGAAUUCCAUGUGUAGCGGUGAAAUGCGUAGAUAUAUGGAGGAACACCGGUGGCGAAAGCGGCUCUCUGGUCUGUAACUGACGCUGAGGCUCGAAAGCGUGGGGAGCAAACAGG
Molecule: ribosomal RNA, 765 nt
Filed under: uncultured Streptococcus sp.
Lineage: Bacteria; Bacillati; Bacillota; Bacilli; Lactobacillales; Streptococcaceae
Description: bacterial SSU rRNA
Rfam family: Bacterial small subunit ribosomal RNA
Source: RNAcentral